Molecule: long non-coding RNA, 424 nt
Filed under: Linum usitatissimum (flax)
Lineage: Eukaryota; Viridiplantae; Streptophyta; Magnoliopsida; Malpighiales; Linaceae
Description: long non-coding RNA (LUSI_LNC005046)
Source: RNAcentral
UCGACGACGGACUCGCCGGAGCAAAGGACGAGAAAGGUAAAAGGUUGAACCCUCUAUUUAUUCUGAUUUUACUUGGUUGAUGAUGGUAGUUUUAUUUGAUUAGGUCGCUUGGAAUAAAAUCUGUACUAUUUUGUUGUUACGAUGAGUUUAGUAAUCUGAACCUUUUUAAAAAAAAAAAUUACCCAUUUGUUUGAAAUGUUAUUAUUAUGGGUCAUCCUUGAUAAAAUUCCAGCAACUUGUUAAGUUUUGAAUCUUAUUUUAGGGUUUGCCAGCACGUUUAUCAACAUGAAACGUUCCCUUUAUUGGUCGUAAUGAAUAUUCGAGGAUGAUUUUUAAGAGAGUAUAGGUGCCACAAAAUGUAUGUAUGAAUAUUGCAUGAAUACUUUUGAAUAGGAAUGUUUGGAUGAUUACCUUUGAAUCGAAG